Molecule: ribosomal RNA, 731 nt
Filed under: gamma proteobacterium IMCC14289
Lineage: Bacteria; Pseudomonadati; Pseudomonadota; Gammaproteobacteria
Description: bacterial SSU rRNA
Rfam family: Bacterial small subunit ribosomal RNA
Source: RNAcentral
AUUGAACGCUGGCGGCAGGCUUAACACAUGCAAGAGAGUUGGUUCAGAGAUAGCUUGCUAUCUGCUGACGAGCGGCGGACGGGUGAGUAAUGCUUGGGAAUAUGCCUUAUGGUGGGGGACAACAGUUGGAAACGACUGCUAAUACCGCAUAACGUGUACGGACCAAAGGGGGGGAUCUUCGGACCUCUCGCCAUUUGAUUAGCCCAAGUGAGAUUAGCUAGUUGGUAAGGUAAUGGCUUACCAAGGCGACGAUCUCUAGCUGGUUUGAGAGGAUGAUCAGCCACACUGGGACUGAGACACGGCCCAGACUCCUACGGGAGGCAGCAGUGGGGAAUAUUGCACAAUGGGCGAAAGCCUGAUGCAGCCAUGCCGCGUGUGUGAAGAAGGCCUUCGGGUUGUAAAGCACUUUCAGUUGUGAGGAAAGGUUUGUAGUUAAUAGGUGCAAGCUGUGACGUUAACAACAGAAGAAGCACCGGCUAACUUCGUGCCAGCAGCCGCGGUAAUACGAGGGGUGCAAGCGUUAAUCGGAAUUACUGGGCGUAAAGCGUUCGUAGGCGGUCUAUUAAGCAAGAUGUGAAAGCCCAGGGCUCAACCUUGGAACUGCAUUUUGAACUGGUAGACUAGAGUACUGUAGAGGGGGGUGGAAUUUCCAGUGUAGCGGUGAAAUGCGUAGAGAUUGGAAGGAACAUCAGUGGCGAAGGCGGCCUACUCUGGACAGAUACUGACGCUGA